Small nuclear RNA from Terrapene triunguis (Three-toed box turtle), 118 nucleotides. Its record names the gene U5. It matches the Rfam family "U5 spliceosomal RNA". From Rfam's summary of the family: U5 RNA is a component of both types of known spliceosome. The precise function of this molecule is unknown, though it is known that the 5' loop is required for splice site selection and p220 binding, and that both the 3' stem-loop and the Sm site are important for Sm protein binding and cap methylation. NCBI's taxonomy places the organism in Eukaryota, Metazoa, Chordata, Testudines, Emydidae. The record is from Ensembl.
UCUCUCUGGUUUCUCUUCAGAUCGUAUAAAUCUUUCGCCUUUUACUAAAGAUUACUCAUAUGUGUAAGUGUUUAUGAGAUUGGGCUGUAUAAUUGUAGAUGAUAGUGGAUAUAAUAUU